CGAAGGAUCCAAGCGUUAUCCGGAUUUAUUGGGUUUAAAGGGUGCGUAGGCGGGCUAUUAAGUCAGUUGGUGAAAGCCCCAAGCUUAACUUGGGAAUUGCCAUUGAUACUGAUGGUCUUGAGUACACUUGAAGUGGGCGGAAUGUGUCAUGUAGCGGUGAAAUGCUUAGAUAUGACACAGAACACCGAUUGCGAAGGCAGCUCACUAAAUUGUAACUGACGCUGAGGCACGAAAGCGUGGGGAUCGAAACAGGAUUAGAUACCCUGGUAGUCCACGCCCUAAACGAUGAUUACUCGAUGUGUGCAAUACACCGUACGCGUCUGAGCGAAAGCAUUAAGUAAUCCACCUGGGGACUACGACCGCAAGGUUG
This 370-nucleotide ribosomal RNA is filed under the name uncultured organism. RNAcentral describes it as "bacterial SSU rRNA". It matches the Rfam family "Bacterial small subunit ribosomal RNA", at positions 526 to 896 of the family's 1533-position model. The record is from RNAcentral.